RNAcentral lists this long non-coding RNA (1726 nucleotides) under Triticum aestivum (bread wheat). Its description in RNAcentral is "long non-coding RNA (TAES_LNC021466)". The record is from RNAcentral. Lineage: Eukaryota; Viridiplantae; Streptophyta; Magnoliopsida; Poales; Poaceae.
AGCCCUCACGGCCUUUUCAUUUCAUUACUCCAAUGCAGUACAUAUAUAUACACCAGGGGUAGGACACACCCACUAACCCGACCACCACGUUGGCCACUAACCAACUAACGCUACAUACUUCAUGCAGACCCAUGCACUAGCCAGCCACUACCCUCGGCAACUAAUCCCACUAGCCCAUGGACUUAUCUUUAUCCCUGGAAUCGCUCCAACGACUCAGCCAUACAACUAGCUACUCAUGCAUGCUAACAAACUCAUCCAUGAAGCUAGCUAACCACUUGCAUGCAUCUAACCAAUCCAUCCAGCCGGUGCCGCUUCGCCGUCCAUGCGCUUGCCGUACGCACGGCCGUGCCGCCUCGCGCAGCUUUGCAGCCUCUCGCUGUCAUCGGCAUCUCGCCGUGCUCGCCAUCUCACACGGCAGCUUGGCAUCACGCCUUUUUCGCACGCCUCCCCUGAACCCUUGCCGACCUACAACUUCUGAACCUACACUACAUGCCUAAAUGAAAUAAACAUGCUGAUACAAAUAUCAAGAUUAGUUCUAACAUUCACCCCCCUAAUCUUGAUAUCACAAUCGUCAUACGGAUCACCCGCAGCCACUUGUCGACGCCGUCGCAGCGCCGUACUUGCUAUGGACGACAUCAUCAAAAUGCCGAUCACCACCGCACACCAUCUUGUCGUAGACGACCCCAUCACAGCGUCCGUCACCACAUCGUCCUGCCGCACGCAGCAGCCACCUCUUGACGUGGACGGCGCCUUCGCAACGCCGAUCACCACGCCAUCAUAACCUCGCGGCAUCGCACCGAAACCGGCCAUCAGCGGUACCGCACCGCUGCCAGCCAUCACCUCGCACCGACGUCCUCCACCUCACAUGGAGUCCACCGCGUCACCGCCGUCGCAGCCGUUGCCUCCGCCCAGCACCACGGCGGCCACCAUAGCCGCCGGCACCGUCGUCGCCGCCACGGAUCAACAAGGCUCUGAUGCCAAUUGUUGGCGCCGCCUCUCGCAGCGCUGCUCUUCUUCUUCCUCUUGUUGCCUCACACAACUCUCUCUUGUUUCCUUGUUUCUCUCACGAACACAAAGACACACACCGGGGCAGAAAACACACACGCACACACACAUUCACCAGGGAGGAAAUUAGCUUUGCCUUAUCUCUCCCGGUGACAAUCACAUGCGCUACAUGGUUUCCUUCAGCCCUCACGGCCUUUUCAUUUCAUUACUCCAAUGCAGUACAUAUAUAUACACCAGGGGUAGGACACACCCACUAACCCGACCACCACGUUGGCCACUAACCAACUAACGCUACAUACUUCAUGCAGACCCAUGCACUAGCCAGCCACUACCCUCGGCAACUAAUCCCACUAGCCCAUGGACUUAUCUUUAUCCCUGGAAUCGCUCCAACGACUCAGCCAUACAACUAGCUACUCAUGCAUGCUAACAAACUCAUCCAUGAAGCUAGCUAACCACUUGCAUGCAUCUAACCAAUCCAUCCAGCCGGUGCCGCUUCGCCGUCCAUGCGCUUGCCGUACGCACGGCCGUGCCGCCUCGCGCAGCUUUGCAGCCUCUCGCUGUCAUCGGCAUCUCGCCGUGCUCGCCAUCUCACACGGCAGCUUGGCAUCACGCCUUUUUCGCACGCCUCCCCUGAACCCUUGCCGACCUACAACUUCUGAACCUACACUACAUGCCUAAACGAAAUAAACAUGCUGAUACAAAUAUCAAGAUUAGUUCUAAC